Non-coding RNA from Podarcis lilfordi (Lilford's wall lizard), 5497 nucleotides. Lineage: Eukaryota; Metazoa; Chordata; Lepidosauria; Squamata; Lacertidae. The record is from the annotation of a GenBank genome assembly.
GAAUGAUAGUAGUACAGAUUGUAUUCCAAGGAAUAAAAAUAAUUGUCACCGGAAUAUACGCACCUAACGAUAAAAAAAUCGGCUUUCUUCUCAGAAUUAGGUAAUAAGUUAUUAGAAUGGAUCGAUCAAAAAAUGAUAUUGAUGGGCGAUUUUAACGGAGUGGUGUCACCAAAUUUGGAUAGGUCAAAAAAGCAAGAGACAAAGGAAGGCAAGCUACCUCAAACGUUUUUUGAUUUGGUUGAUAAUAUGGGACUAAUUGACGCCUGGAGAUUUAAAAAAACCCCACUAUAAAACAAUAUACCUUUUCUCAAACCCAAAUCAGAGUUGGGGGAGAAUAGAUAAUAUUUGGAUCUCGAAGGAGUUGACACAGAACUUAGCUAAAUCUGAAAUACUCCCACAAACUAUAUCUGACCAUAAUCCGGUAUUUAUGGAGAUAAAGGGUAAAGAUACUAGAGUAUUUAGAUGGAGAAUGAAUGAAGGUAUAUUUAAUAAUCAAAAGAUAGUGAGGCGAAAGAAACAAUUGAAGAAUACUUCAAGUGGAAUUUACACAAAGAAACAGCUACAGAAACGGUCUGGGAUGCAGGAAAAGCCGUUAUGAGGGGCUUCCUAAUUCAGAAAAAUAGCCAUUUAAGAAAAGAAAAAGGGGGGGGGAGAAGAGAUUCUAACACAGCUUAUGGAGAAUGAAAGACAACUAGCUAUUAAACCAGGUGACAAGAGAAUAAAGCAAAAUUUAAAAAUAUUACAAGCCCAAUUUUCUAUGAUAGUUAACCAGGAAAUUGAGUGGAAAAUUAAAAUGAUGAAACAAAAGAACUUUGAAUCAGCUAAUAAAAUAGGAAAUUCUUGGCGUGGCAAAUAAGAGAAAGGAAAAAACAAAAUACGAUCUGCAAGAUAAGGGAUGGAGAAAGGAUAGUGGAAGAGCCAAAAGAAAUAAAAAGGAUAUUUCAGACGUAUUAUAAGGAAUUGUAUAAAAGAGGAAAGGAAAUAGAUUAUGAAAUAGACCGAUACCUGGAAGAUCACCAUUUACAACAGAUUGCCAUAGAAGAGAAAGAGUUAUUAGACCAGAGGAUUACAGAAGAUUAUAUAAGGAAGGCAAUAAAAAAGAUGAAAAUUGGGAAAGCGCCAAUGGAUGGCCUACCAGCCAAGUACUAUAAAACAUUAAGUGAGCAAUUAUGCCCAAUUCUAUGUGAAGUGGUGAAUAAUAUUUUAAAAGAGGGAAGGAUUCCGAAUACCUGGAAGGAAGCAUAUAUUACUUUUAUACCUAAAAAAGAUGUGGAUGCCUUAGAGGUGAAGAACCAUAAGCCCAUUUUCGUUAUUAAAUAAAGAUUAUAAACUGUUCGCGGAUAUAAUGGCAGAAAGACUAAAAAGGGUAUUAAAAAAUAGAAUUCAUAAAGAUCAAACGGGCUUCCUACCAGGAAGACAACUAAAGGAUAACGUAAGAAAUGUGAUAGAUAUUAUUGAAUACCUGGAAACUAGAAUAGAUAAACAGGCGGCCUUGAUAUUUAUCGAUGCGGAGAAGGCAUUCGAUAAUGUCUCUUGGCGCUUUCUGAUGGAAAAUUUGAAAAGGAUGGGGAUGGGAGAAUGAUUCAGAAAAGGUAUAGAGGCUAUCUAUCAUGAGCAAAAGGCAAAACUUAUAAUAAAUAAUACUACAUCAGAAUUUUUUGAUAUUUCUAAAGGGACGAGGCAAGGCUGCCCUCUGUCCCCCCUAUUAGUUAUCUUAGUAUUGGAAGUACUUACUAAGAGGCUGAGGGAUACAGCAGAGGUUAAAGGAGUCAGGGUAGGAACUAAGGAACACAAAAUUAAAGCUUUAUGGAUGACAUUGCUCUAACAUUAGAAGAUCCAAAGCACAGUGUAAAAGAAGCCCUACAAAAAAUUGAAGAGUUUGGUGCUGUGGCAGUCUUUAAGGUCAAUAAGAAUAAGACUAAAAUACUGACUGAGGAACGUGUAGCUAUGCUCCAAAGAAUUAGAGAGCUGGAGCUCUUCUUGGAAGCAACAGAGCACACCGUCUCCACCAAGGAGGAGACAGGGGACUCCCCUGAGAAGGACGCUAGUUCACCAACACAGGAGCCAGAUAUAUGGAGAAACGUGACUCAAAGAAGUAGGAGGCCCAGGGUUCGCUCUGAUUGUUUAGAAAUACACAAUCGCUUUGAGGUCCCUCCCCUAGCAUGGAAGACGAAGAGCAGACUCCAUUUGAGGAUCUCUCCCUCAUUACAGUCGAUCAGGUAUAUGAAGACGAGCAGCAAAGUCAGUCCUCAGGGAAUGUGCAGGCGACCUUGGAGCGGACAGCUCACGGAAGAACCCCGACCAAACCUAAGAGGAGGCGUGUAGUGGUGAUAGGGGAUUCCCUACUGAGGGGAACAGAAGCAGUGAUCUGUGGGCCUGACAAGAUGUCUCGGGAAGUGUGCUGUCUCCCGGGGCUAAGAUCCAAGAUGUAACUGAACAACUGCAAGGAAUCAUAAAACCCACUGACAAAUACCCCUUCCUCUUGGUUCAUGUGGGAACCAAUGACACUGCAAGCAAUAGCCUCCAGAAGAUCAAAAGAGACUACGAGGCUCUGGGCAGGAAAUUGAAGCAAUUAAAUGCACAAAUUGUGAUCUCAUCUGUCCUCCCAGUUGAACGACGUGGCCCAGGGAGAGAGGGGAAAAUAGUGGAAGUGAACAGCUGGCUUCGCAAAUGGUGUAAACAGGAACGGUUUGGAUUCUUAGAUCACGGACUGCAGUUUCUUGAAGAUGGACUUCUGGCAAGCGAUGGGCUGCACCUCACAACGGUUGGGAGAAAUGUUUUUGCCAAAAAUCUCAGAAACCUCAUCAGGAGGGCUUUAAACUGACUAAUGUGGGGGAGGGAGACAGUGCUCCUAAAGGUAGGAGUCUAUCAAUUGAUGAAGAUGAUCAUCCAAAUGUCGUAGACCAAAUGGAGCAAACAGCACGCAGACCUAGUGGUGGGAGGAAAAAUCCUUAAAUAAGAGUCACGGGGAAUGAUUAAUGGACUUCAAUGUCUGUACACUAAUGCGCAAAGCAUGGGAAAUAAACAAGAUGAGCUUGAGCUCUUGGUACAGCAAACUAAAUAUGACAUAAUAGGCAUCACUGAAACCUGGUGGGAUAAGUCCCACGAUUGGAAUGUAAUAAUGGGGGAUACAAUCUAUUUCAGAGAAACAGACCAGACAAGAAAGGAGGAGGAGUGGCGUUAUAUGUCAGGGAUGUGUAUACCUGUGAAGAGAUCCAAGAUUUAGAACCUCAAAGCCAAAGUGAGAGCAUUUGGGUCAAAAUUAAGGGAGAGAAGAAUAACAGUGACCUCAUUGUGGGAGUUUACUAUAGAUCCCCAAGCCAAACGGAGGACAUAGAUGAUGCCUUCCUGGAACAGAUGGCCAAGCAUGCAAAAGGAAGGGAGAUAGUAGUAAUGGGGGACUUCAAUUACCCGGAUAUUUGUUGGAUGUCAAACUCAGCCAAGAGCAUAAGGUCAAACAGAUUCCUCACUGGCCUUGCAGACAACUUCAUUGUCCAGAAAGUGGGAGAAGCAACAAGAGGAACAGCCAUUUUAGAUCUGGUCCUAACCAAUGUUGAUGACCUGGUUAGUGGGGUAGAAGUGGAAGGAUCAUUAGGCGCGAGUGAUCAUGCUCUUCUGAAGUUUACUAUACAGCGGAAAGGAGCAGCCAAGCAUACUAGGACUUAAUUUCUUGACUUUAAGAAAGCUGACUUCAUAAAACUUAGGGAAGUGCUGGGUGAGAUCCCAUGGACAGUAAUACUAAAAGGAAAGGGAGUUCAUGAUGGCUGGGAGUUUGUUAAGAGGGAGAUACUAAAAGCACAACGUCAGGCAAUACCAAUGAGACGGAAACAUGGAAGGUGCCUAAAGAAGCCAGGGUGGCUAUCUAAAGAACUUUUAACUGAGUUAAGAUUAAAAAGGAUGUGUACAAAAAUGGAAAAGGGGGAAACCACCAAAGAGGAAUUCAAACAAAUAGCCAGCACGUGUAGACACAAAGUCAGAAAAGCUAAAGCACAGAAUGAACUCAGGCUUGCUAGAGUGGUUAAAAGCAACAAAAAAGGCUUUUAUGUUUAUGUCUGUAGCAAAAGGAAGAACAAAGAAACAGUGGGGUCACUCAGAGGAGAAGAUGGUAAAAUGCAAACAGGGGACACAGAAAGAGCUGAACUCCUCAAUGCCUUCUUUGCCUCAGUCUUCUCCGAUAAAGAAAACAAUGCCCGACCUGAAGAAUUUGGAGCAAAUGAUUCAGCAGAGGAAACACAGCCCAGAAUAACUAAGGAGAUAGUACAAGAAUACUUGGCUAGUUUAGAUGUAUUCAAGUCUCCAGGGCCAGAUGAACUGCAUCCAAGAGUAUUAAAAGAACUGGCAGAUGUGAUCUCAGAACCACUGGCAGUCAUCUUUGAGAAUUCCUGGAGAACAGGCGAAGUCCCGGCAGACUGGAGGAGGGCAAAUGAUGUCCCUAUUUUCAAAAAGGGGAAAAGAGAGGACCCAAUUAAUUACCGCCCAGUCAGUCUGACAUCAAUACCAGGGAAGAUUCUGGAGUAGAUCAUUAAGCAAACAGUCUGUGAGCACCUAGAAAGGAAUGCUGUGAUCACCAAUAGUCAGCAUGGAUUUCUGAAAAAUAAGUCAUGUCAGACUAACCUGAUCUCGUUUUUGACAGAAUUACAAGCCUGGUAGAUGAAGGAACGCAGUGGAUGUAGCCUACCUUGAUUUCAGCAAGGCAUUUGACAAGGUGCCCCAUGAUAUUCUUGUAAAGAAGCUGGUAAAAUGCGGUCUUGACUAUGCUACCACGCAGUGGAUUUGUAACUGGCUGACUGACCAAACCCAAAGGGUGCUCAUCAAUGGUUCCUCUUCAUCCUGGAGAAGAGUGACUAGUGGGGUGCCAUAAGGUUCUGUCUUGGGCCCGGUCUUAUUCAACAUCUUUAUCAACGACUUAGAUGAUGGACUCAAGGGCAUCCUGAUCAAAUUUGCAGAUGACACCAAAUUGGGAGUGGUGGCUAACACCCCAGAGGACAGGAUCACACUUCAAAACGACCUUGACAGAUUAGAGAACUGGGCCAAAACAAACAAGAUGAAUUUUAACAGGGAGAAAUGUAAAGUAUUGCACUUGGGCAAAAAAAUGAGAGGAACAAAUACAAGAUGGGGACACCUGGCUUGAGAGCAGUACAUGUGAAAAGGAUCUAGGAGUCUUGGUUGACCACAAACUUGACAUGAGCCAACAGUGUGACGCGGCAGCUAAAAAGCCAAUGCAAUUCUGGGCUGCAUCAAUAGGAGUAUAGCAUCUAGAUCAAGGGAAGUAAUAGUGCCACUGUAUUCUGCUCUGGUCAGACCUCACCUGGAGUACUGUGUCCAGUUCUGGGCACCACAGUUCAAGAAGGACAUUGACAAACUGGAACGUGUCCAGAGGAGGGCAACCAAAAUGGUCCAAGGCCUGGAAACGAUGCCUUAUGAGGAACGGCUAAGGGAGCUGGGCAUGUUUAGCCUGGAGAAGAGGAGGUUAAGGGGUGAUAUGAUAGCCAUGUUC